Molecule: long non-coding RNA, 329 nt
Organism: Uranotaenia lowii
Lineage: Eukaryota; Metazoa; Arthropoda; Insecta; Diptera; Culicidae
Exons: 3
Source: RefSeq, a predicted model, not a curated record
GGCUAUCGAGGAUUUCUCAUCUGCUCAUCGCUAAUAUAAACUAACAUAUGGCGGAUUUGGCUAUUUUAAUCAGGUCAACUUAAAGAUUCUAGAUGUUAGUUUUUGAAUGGCACAAAAACAGAAGAUGGUGGGAGUUAUUUUUUCGAGGAAACACAUCAGAAAGCGAAAAUUUUCAGAUUCAUCCGCUGGGACAUAUAUGUUGAAGCGCGCAUACUUUGAUCCCGCUAGGCCGAAGCAAUGGGAAAAAAACAAAAUCCCCCAGAAUAUUUCCAAAUCAGUUUUAACACGUUUCGCGCAAGUCUCAAAAAAAUCCUUCUGGAAACGGCGGA